This is a non-coding RNA of Saimiri boliviensis boliviensis (Bolivian squirrel monkey), 816 nucleotides long. NCBI's taxonomy places the organism in Eukaryota, Metazoa, Chordata, Mammalia, Primates, Cebidae. The record is from RefSeq and is a predicted model, not a curated record.
GUGAGGACCAGGGAUGGCAGCCCGAGCAGCCAAACAGGCCUCAGCUUGAUGUUACAGGCUUUAAAGAUGAUGGCGGGGGAAGGGAACAAAGGACUCGUGGUGGAUCUAGAAGCUGGAAAAGGCCACCAAGCAGACUGUCCCCUGGAACCUCUAGAAAGAAACGCAGCCUUGCUGGCUGAGCCCGGUGAGACCCAUGUCAGGCUCCUGACCUCCAGAGUGCUGGCCUGCCUGUAUGAGGAGAGAGCAUGUCUCCAGAAACAAGGAGAGAUCGUAGGCUUGAAGCCAAGCUGAGCUGAGCUAGACUCCUUCUUGGCCACCAGCAGACACUGUGACCUCCUGGCAAGCACUGUGGCCUCUGCCGGGAAGCCUCCAGCUGCCCCGCCUCCCCGCUGGCCCUCCCUGGCUGUCUUUCCUGGGGCCUAUUCCAGCCAGCUCCACUGUCCCUUCUCUGGGAAGCCUUUCCUGACUCUUACCGGUAGGCUCAGCCCCUCCCUCCCUAUCUGAUUCUCCCACAGCAUCCACACUCUUCCCUGGCAGCAAUCAUCACAACUGUCAUUCAAUUUGCAUAAUAAUUUGUUGACAUUUGUCUCCCUGGAAUUGCAGACCCCUAGAGAACAGGGCUGGUGUCCGUCUUGUUCACAGAUCCGUCCUCAGUGUGAGAAGAGUCCCUGGCACACUGUGUCCAGGAGGUCUCUGCUGGCUAGGACCAACCAAAACCUCUCUGAGUCUUAGUUGCCUCAUCUAUGAAGCACCUUUCUGGGCUCUUGCAAGGAGUAAAUGGCAUAGUGCUGUAAAGCAUUAAACAGGAUUCCUCAU